CAGUCGCCGCGGUAAUACAGAGGGUGCGAGCGUUAAUCGGAUUUACUGGGCGUAAAGCGUGCGUAGGCGGCUUUUUAAGUCGGAUGUGAAAUCCCUGAGCUUAACUUAGGAAUUGCAUUCGAUACUGGGAAGCUAGAGUAUGGGAGAGGAUGGUAGAAUUCCAGGUGUAGCGGUGAAAUGCGUAGAGAUGUGGAGGAAUACCGGUGGCGAAGGCAGCCAUCUGGACUAAUACUGACGCUGAGGUACGAAAGCAUGGGGAGCAAACAGGAUUAGAUACCCCUGUAGUCCCUGUCUCUUAUAC
Molecule: ribosomal RNA, 301 nt
Filed under: uncultured bacterium
Lineage: Bacteria
Description: partial 16S ribosomal RNA
Rfam family: Bacterial small subunit ribosomal RNA
Source: RNAcentral